AGAUUGAACGCUGGCGGCAUGCCUUACACAUGCAAGUCGAACGGCAGCACGGGAGCAAUCCUGGUGGCGAGUGGCGAACGGGUGAGUAAUAUAUCGGAACGUGCCCAGUCGUGGGGGAUAACGCAGCGAAAGCUGUGCUAAUACCGCAUACGAUCUAUGGAUGAAAGCGGGGGAUCGCAAGACCUCACGCGAUUGGAGCGGCCGAUAUCAGAUUAGCUAGUUGGUGGGUAAAGCCUACAAGGCGACGAUCUGUAGCUGGUCUGAGAGGACGACAGCCACACUGGAACUGAGACACGGUCCAGACUCCGUACGGGAGCAGCAGGUAGGGGUAAUUUUGGAC
Molecule: ribosomal RNA, 340 nt
Filed under: uncultured soil bacterium
Lineage: Bacteria
Description: bacterial SSU rRNA
Rfam family: Bacterial small subunit ribosomal RNA
Source: RNAcentral